UACGUAGGGGGCAAGCGUUGUCCGGAUUUAUUGGGCGUAAAGAGCUCGUAGGCGGCUCGGUAAGUCGGAUGUGAAAACUCCAGGCUCAACCUGGAGACGCCAUCUGAUACUGCCGUGGCUUGAGUCCGGUAGAGGAGCAGGGAAUUCCUGGUGUAGCGGUGAAAUGCGCAGAUAUCAGGAGGAACACCAGCGGCGAAGGCGCUGCUCUGGGCCGGUACUGACGCUGAGGAGCGAAAGCGUGGGGAGCGAACAGG
This 254-nucleotide ribosomal RNA is filed under the name uncultured bacterium. Its description in RNAcentral is "partial 16S ribosomal RNA". It matches the Rfam family "Bacterial small subunit ribosomal RNA", at positions 524 to 776 of the family's 1533-position model. The record is from RNAcentral.